AAAAGAAGACCCUUAAUCAGGCGGACGGGAGGGCUGCUAGGAUCCGCGGCGUUCCCUCCUGCGGGGCCAGAGAGCUGCAUGGGAAACACAGCGAGACAAGAAGACAUGGGCACUUUCGCUGGUCUUGAAGCUCUGCAGUCCGGGGGUCGCUAAGGAAGAGGAGGAUGCUCAUGGGGACGCAUCACUCCCGGAAGCCGUCUGUGGGACCAGCCUUUGGCGCCGAGGACCAGGCGACACAGACCUGCCGCGGGAUGCAACGGGUGGCGCGGGCCUGGCCUCCUGCCUUCACACUGGCCACUGUCAGCUCCAGAUGGCGGGGCUCUGCGCUGGGCCGCGGCUCGGUGGCGACGGAGGCGGCCUGACCUGGCGCUGCGCCCCGACUCGCGCGCAGACAUAGGAGUCUGCUUAAAAACGCACUAGGACUUCGCACCGUCCCUCAGCAGCAGCUGGGAGGCCACCCAAGUCGGCGACAUUGAGGCAAUAGUCAGACAGUCCUCAGCGGCUGAGACCCCCGGUGGGUCCGGCCGCUGCGACUCGAUGGUUCCCUAGGCUCCGACCCCUGUGUCCAGUCUGCGCUUUCCUGCCACGCCAGGCAGGGACCGGUGGCCCCUGGGGACCAAGAAUAGUCUACAAUGAGCGCCCCGAGGGUGCAGGGCUGCAGGGACCCAGUGGCGAGCGGAGCUGAGUUGGGCAGGCGGGAGGAGUCGACUCGAGCCGCUCCAAGGAAACCCCAGAAGGAAACGCCCAGAAGCGAAGGACGCAGGACCGUCGCCCGCUGCGGGGAGUGCCCCCCACGGCAGGCAUCGCGGAGCCAGCUCCUCGGCAGCGUGGGGACACCACCCGGGAACGCCGCGGGCUGACCAAGGGCGACCCAGGCCCUAAAGCUGCGACACUGGGCCGGUAUUUCCCACAAACGCAGGGCAGAGGAAUGGACCGCAGUGGCCUGGCCUGGAGUGCCGCUACGACGCCGUCCCCAGCGUCGAAGGAAGUGAAUUACAUGCGUGUGCACACACGUAAAUAUUUUAUAAACCUCCCCUUAAUUAACCAGAUCAUUUCCAUUAUGCCUCCAAUAUGAACAACAGCAACGGUGUGAGAGUUCUCAGGGCUUCUAAUUUGAUGUCACCAGACGGUUGCUCGGGGGCAGAGGCACCAUCGCCGUGCCAGCUGCACUUGUAUUUAUUUGUUUUUCUGCCUUGUUCCUGUAGGGCUCCAUUAUGCGGUUUUUAAUUAGUUUGUGUUUGUAUUUCACCCGUCCCAAAUCAAUGCCAUCCCGAAGCAAGGCGAUGUAAAUUCUCUCAGUACAGGUGUAGCUGCCUGCGCGGGUACACCGGCGAACGCGUGUCUGACAAAUGAAAGCGGGGCCGCUGCGCAGCCGACUGUCAGCUCUCGGCAGCGGAGAGGCGCGGAUCAAAGCCAGCGGGACUUCUGCGCCCCCGUGAGCGCCGUCGUGGCUGCGGCUCCUAAUGUCAUUAGAGGAGGCCGGGCUGAGCACGGCGUGAGGAACAAAGUGACUUUUCAUUUUGCUCAGGUCCUCUGGUCUUUGGGCCAGCGCUGGCCUCAGAAUCGCCUCCCGCUUGGGGCCUAUAGGAUGCAGCUGAAACCGCAGUGGCUUCCGCCAGAAUCCCUGGCUGUGCGCACCCGCACCCGCAGUGACCCAGCGCCCUGGGAUCACUGUGGCUUCCCAACGGGUCCCGCUAACCUUAACCCGCAGCCUUAAGCUGAACCUGCCCUGGAAUCUCUAGACAGGAGACAUCCCCUCUCCGUGUUGUGUUUGCAUCUCCGCCUUCUUGAAAUGACCUCUGUGGAGCGCAUGUGUAUCUAUUCUUCCAGCCAUGGGGAAUUCUUUUAAAGCUUUCUUUUUUUGUCAGGAACAAGAGAUAGCUCAUCUUUAACUAGGCCACAUAGAAAUUAUGAUUCAACAGCAGUGUAUAUUUAAUUAGAGUAAUCUCACUUGAAUUUAAUUACCUAAUGAAUUAUUUGUUUAAAAGGUAGAACGUCUUGUUUGCCAAGUACCGUGCAGACCUCCGAUAAGAAUUUCUGUUACGAGGACGUUACAGUUUAAGAGCAGACAUGUGUAAGGGUUCUAUUUUAACUCUUUGAGUAUGUGACUGUUACUGUACACGCCAACAAAAACUAAGAUGGUGGGUACAGUCUGGUGGGUAGAGUCCGGAGGGCAGUGGGCAUGACCCUGGCCACACAGAGGUGCGCUCCUGUUAUGUACACGUGUGUGCCCAAGUCGCUUUGGAAAUUAAUAUCUUUUGACUGUCAUGUGAGUCGAGUUUAUCUUAAAACUUAUUUCAUGUU
This is a long non-coding RNA of Gorilla gorilla gorilla (western lowland gorilla), 2304 nucleotides long. RefSeq lists it as uncharacterized. The record is from RefSeq and is a predicted model, not a curated record. The transcript has 2 exons. NCBI's taxonomy places the organism in Eukaryota, Metazoa, Chordata, Mammalia, Primates, Hominidae.